AUUGAACGCUGGCGGCAGGCCUAACACAUGCAAGUCGAGCGGAUGAAGGGAGCUUGCUCCUGGAUUCAGCGGCGGACGGGUGAGUAAUGCCUAGGAAUCUGCCUGGUAGUGGGGGAUAACGUCCGGAAACGGGCGCUAAUACCGCAUACGUCCUGAGGGUGAAAGUGGGGGAUCUUCGGACCUCACGCUAUCAGAUGAGCCUAGGUCGGAUUAGCUAGUUGGUGGGGUAAAGGCCUACCAAGGCGACGAUCCGUAACUGGUCUGAGAGGAUGAUCAGUCACACUGGAACUGAGACACGGUCCAGACUCCUACGGGAGGCAGCAGUGGGGAAUAUUGGACAAUGGGCGAAAGCCUGAUCCAGCCAUGCCGCGUGUGUGAAGAAGGUCUUCGGAUUGUAAAGCACUUUAAGUUGGGAGGAAGGGCAGUAAGUUAAUACCUUGCUGGUUUGACGUUACCAACAGAAUAAGCACCGGCUAACUUCGUG
This 484-nucleotide ribosomal RNA is filed under the name uncultured bacterium. Its description in RNAcentral is "partial 16S ribosomal RNA". It matches the Rfam family "Bacterial small subunit ribosomal RNA", at positions 30 to 507 of the family's 1533-position model. The record is from RNAcentral.